UGGGGAAUUUUGGACAAUGGGGGCAACCCUGAUCCAGCCAUCCCGCGUGUGCGAUGAAGGCCUUCGGGUUGUAAAGCACUUUUGGCAGGGAAGAAACAGCCUGGGCUAAUAUCCCGGGCGACUGACGGUACCUGCAGAAUAAGCACCGGCUAACUACGUGCCAGCAGCCGCGGUAAUACGUAGGGUGCAAGCGUUAAUCGGAAUUACUGGGCGUAAAGCGUGCGCAGGCGGUUCGGAAAGAAAGGUGUGAAAUCCCAGGGCUUAACCUUGGAACUGCACUUUUAACUACCGGGCUAGAGUACGUCAGAGGGGGGUAGAAUUCCACGUGUAGCAGUGAAAUGCGUAGAGAUGUGGAGGAAUACCGAUGGCGAAGGCAGCCCCCUGGGAUGAUACUGACGCUCAUGCACGAAAGCGUGGGGAGCAAGCA
RNAcentral lists this ribosomal RNA (427 nucleotides) under uncultured bacterium. Its description in RNAcentral is "bacterial SSU rRNA". It matches the Rfam family "Bacterial small subunit ribosomal RNA", at positions 355 to 774 of the family's 1533-position model. The record is from RNAcentral.